RNAcentral lists this transfer RNA (77 nucleotides) under Rickettsiales bacterium. Its description in RNAcentral is "tRNA-Pro". The record is from RNAcentral. Lineage: Bacteria; Pseudomonadati; Pseudomonadota; Alphaproteobacteria; Rickettsiales.
CGGGGCGUAGCUCAGCCUGGUAGAGUACUUGCAUGGGGUGCAAGGGGUCGCACGUUCGAACCGUGUCGCCCCGACCA